CGGCGUGCCUAAUACAUGCAAGUCGAGCGAACAGACGAGGAGCUUGCUCCUCUGACGUUAGCGGCGGACGGGUGAGUAACACGUGGAUAACCUACCUAUAAGACUGGGAUAACUUCGGGAAACCGGAGCUAAUACCGGAUAAUAUAUUGAACCGCAUGGUUCAAUAGUGAAAGACGGUUUUGCUGUCACUUAUAGAUGGAUCCGCGCCGCAUUAGCUAGUUGGUAAGGUAACGGCUUACCAAGGCAACGAUGCGUAGCCGACCUGAGAGGGUGAUCGGCCACACUGGAACUGAGACACGGUCCAGACUCCUACGGGAGGCAGCAGUAGGGAAUCUUCCGCAAUGGGCGAAAGCCUGACGGAGCAACGCCGCGUGAGUGAUGAAGGUCUUCGGAUCGUAAAACUCUGUUAUUAGGGAAGAACAAAUGUGUAAGUAACUAUGCACGUCUUGACGGUACCUAAUCAGAAAGCCACGGCUAACUACGUGCCAGCAGCCGCGGUAAUACGUAGGUGGCAAGCGUUAUCCGGAAUUAUUGGGCGUAAAGCGCGCGUAGGCGGUUUUUUAAGUCUGAUGUGAAAGCCCACGGCUCAACCGUGGAGGGUCAUUGGAAACUGGAAAACUUGAGUGCAGAAGAGGAAAGUGGAAUUCCAUGUGUAGCGGCGAAAUGCGCAGAGAUAUGGAGGAACACCAGUGGCGAAGGCGACUUUCUGGUCUGUAACUGACGCUGAUGUGCGAAAGCGU
RNAcentral lists this ribosomal RNA (740 nucleotides) under uncultured Staphylococcus sp. Its description in RNAcentral is "bacterial SSU rRNA". It matches the Rfam family "Bacterial small subunit ribosomal RNA", at positions 40 to 762 of the family's 1533-position model. Lineage: Bacteria; Bacillati; Bacillota; Bacilli; Caryophanales; Staphylococcaceae. The record is from RNAcentral.